Agelaius phoeniceus (red-winged blackbird) is the source of this 406-nucleotide non-coding RNA. The record is from RefSeq and is a predicted model, not a curated record. Lineage: Eukaryota; Metazoa; Chordata; Aves; Passeriformes; Icteridae.
CGCCGGUGAGGGGACAGCGCCGGCUCCGCGCUCCCGGCGGCUCCGCUCCGCUCGCCGGCUCAGGCUCGCAGUACUCCAGCGGAGCGUUUGGAGCGGCUGGAAGCCCGAGGAGAAGGCGGCGGGAGGGAACUUUGCCCGCCCAGGUGCCCGGGAUGCCGGCUGGGGUGGCCGCUGUAGCCCCGGCCGCCUCCACCUGGGCAUGGAUGUCGUCAAGAUGUGCUUUCCUACCGUCACCGACCAGAAUGGGCUCUUCUGCUGCAAUCUUGCUUUGGAGACUGUACUAGAAACGUGAAAGGAGGGGCACUGUCUUCUGUUCUGUAUCUUUGAAAGGCCUCCUGUAUUGUAGGGGAAGAAAACCUCUCGUUUGCUGAAUUAAACUGUCCAAAAGUUUAUUUCUUUCUGUGUA